Molecule: ribosomal RNA, 467 nt
Filed under: uncultured bacterium
Lineage: Bacteria
Description: bacterial SSU rRNA
Rfam family: Bacterial small subunit ribosomal RNA
Source: RNAcentral
UCCCAGACUCCUACGGGAGGCAGCAGUGAGGAAUAUUGGUCAAUGGCCGAGAGGCUGAACCAGCCAAGUCGCGUGAGGGAAGACUGCCCUAUGGGUUGUAAACCUCUUUUGUCAGGGAGCAAUUGGCGCUACGUGUAGCGUUAUCGAGAGUACCUGAAGAAAAAGCAUCGGCUAACUCCGUGCCAGCAGCCGCGGUAAUACGGAGGAUGCGAGCGUUAUCCGGAUUUAUUGGGUUUAAAGGGUGCGUAGGCGGAAUGCCAAGUCAGCGGUAAAAUCGCGGGGCUCAACCUCGCUCCGCCGUUGAAACUGGCGUUCUUGAGUGGGCGAGAAGUAUGCGGAAUGCGUGGUGUAGCGGUGAAAUGCAUAGAUAUCACGCAGAACUCCGAUUGCGAAGGCAGCAUACCGGCGCCCAACUGACGCUGAAGCACGAAAGCGUGGGUAUCGAACAGGAUUAGAUACCCGCGUAC